UUGUACACACCGCCCGUCACACCAUGGGAGUUUGUUGCACCAGAAGUAGCUAGCCUAACUGCAAAGAGGGCGGUUACCACGGUGUGGCCGAUGACUGGGGUGAAGUCGUAACAAGGUAGCCGUAGGGGAACCUGCGGCUGGAUCACCUCCUUAACGAAAGAUUGACGAUUGGUAAGAAUCCACAACAAGUUGUUCUUCAUAGAUGUAUCUGAGGGUCUGUAGCUCAGUUGGUUAGAGCACACGCUUGAUAAGCGUGGGGUCACAAGUUCAAGUCUUGUCAGACCCACCAUGACUUUGACUGGUUGAAGUUAUAGAUAAAAGAUACAUGAUUGAUGAUGUAAGCUGGGGACUUAGCUUAGUUGGUAGAGCGCCUGCUUUGCACGCAGGAGGUCAGGAGUUCGACUCUCCUAGUCUCCACCAGAACUUAAGAUAAGUUCGGAUUACAGAAAUUAGUAAAUAAAGAUUGAGAUCUUGGUUUAUUAACUUCUGUGAUUUCCUUAUCACGGUAAUUAGUGUGAUCUGACGAAGACACAUUAACUCAUUAACAGAUUGGCAAAAUUGAGUCUGAAAUAAAUUGUUCACUCAAGAGUUUAGGUUAAGCAAUUAAUCUAGAUGAAUUGAGAACUAGCAAAUUAACUGAAUCAAGCGUUUUGGUAUGUGAAUUUAGAUUGAAGCUGUACAGUGCUUAAGUGCACAGUGCUCUAAACUGAAAUGUUGAAGUUACUAACUUGUAGGUAACAUCGACUGUUUGGGGUUGUAUAGUCAAGUAAUUAAGUGCAUGUGGUGGAUGCCUUGGCAGUCAGAGGCGAUGAAAGACGUGAUAGCCUGCGAAAAGCUCCGGGGAGGCGGCAAAUAUCCUUUGAUCCGGAGAUGUCUGAAUGGGGGAACCCACCUACUUUAAGGUAGGUAUUGCAACAUGAAUACAUAGUGUUGCAAGGCGAACGAGGGGAACUGAAACAUCUAAGUACC
RNAcentral lists this unclassified non-coding RNA (969 nucleotides) under Acinetobacter baumannii. Its description in RNAcentral is "partial contains 16S ribosomal RNA, 16S-23S intergenic spacer and 23S ribosomal RNA". The stretch from base 761 to 969 matches the Rfam family "Bacterial large subunit ribosomal RNA", at positions 1 to 210 of the family's 2925-position model. The record is from RNAcentral. Lineage: Bacteria; Pseudomonadati; Pseudomonadota; Gammaproteobacteria; Moraxellales; Moraxellaceae.